Molecule: ribosomal RNA, 253 nt
Filed under: uncultured bacterium
Lineage: Bacteria
Description: partial 16S ribosomal RNA
Rfam family: Bacterial small subunit ribosomal RNA
Source: RNAcentral
UACGUAGGGUGCGAGCGUUGUCCGGAAUUACUGGGCGUAAAGCGCACGUAGGCGGCUUCUUAAGUCGGUGGUGAAAUCCUGGAGCUCAACUCCAGAACUGCCUUCGAUACUGGGAAGCUCGAGUUCGGGAGAGGGAAGCGGAAUUCCGGGUGUAGCGGUGAAAUGCGUAGAUAUCCGGAGGAACACCGGUGGCGAAGGCGGCUUCCUGGACCGACACUGACGCUGAGGCGCGAAAGCUAGGGGAGCAAACGGG